Molecule: ribosomal RNA, 801 nt
Filed under: uncultured bacterium
Lineage: Bacteria
Description: bacterial SSU rRNA
Rfam family: Bacterial small subunit ribosomal RNA
Source: RNAcentral
ACGGUAACGCGGGCUUCGGCCUGGCGACGAGUGGCGAACGGGUGAGUAGAACAUCGGAACGUAUCCUCAAGUGGGGGAUAGCCCGGCGAAAGCCGGAUUAAUACCGCAUGAACUCUGAGGAGCAAAGCGGGGGACUUUCGGGCCUCGCGCUGGAGGAGCGGCCGAUGCCGGAUUAGCUUGUUGGUGGGGUAAGAGCCUACCAAGGCGACGAUCCGUAGCUGGUCUGAGAGGAUGAUCAGCCGCACUGGAACUGAGACACGGUCCAGACUCCUACGGGAGGCAGCAGUGGGGAAUUUUGGACAAUGGGGGCAACCCUGAUCCAGCCAUGCCGCGUGCGGGAAGAAGGCCUUCGGGUUGUAAACCGCUUUCAUACGGGACGAAAUGGUGCAGGUUAAUACCCUGUAUUGAUGACGGUACCGUAAGAAGAAGCACCGGCUAACUACGUGCCAGCAGCCGCGGUAAUACGUAGGGUGCGAGCGUUAAUCGGAAUUACUGGGCGUAAAGCGUGCGCAGGCGGCUCUUUAAGACAGGUGUGAAAUCCCCGGGCUUAACCUGGGAAUUGCGCUUGUGACUGGGGAGCUCGAGUGCGGCAGAGGGGGAUGGAAUUCCUGGUGUAGCAGUGAAAUGCGUAGAUAUCAGGAGGAACACCGAUGGCGAAGGCAGUCCCCUGGGUCGACACUGACGCUCAGGCACGAAAGCGUGGGGAGCAAACAGGAUUAGAUACCCUGGUAGUCCACGCCCUAAACGAUGUCAACUAGUUGUUGGGGAAGGAGACUUCUUUAGUAACGUAGCUAACGCGUG